AGCAGCCGCGGUAAUUCCAGCUCCAAUAGCGUAUAUUAAAGUUGUUGCAGUUAAAAAGCUCGUAGUUGAAUUUCGGGAUCAAAGGAUCGGUCAUGCCUUGGUAUGUACUGGUUUUAUUGGUUCUCACCUUCUAAAGAACCAUAAUGUCAUUCAUUUGAUGUUAUGGGGAAUUAGGACUGUUACCUUGAAAAAUUAGAGUGUUUAAAGCAGGCUUACGCUUGAAUACAUUAGCAUGGAAUAAUGAAAUAGGACAUCAGAUUCUAUUUUGUUGGUUUCUAGGAUCGAUGUAAUGAUUAAUAGGGAUAGUUGGGGGCAUUAGUAUUCAAUUGCCAGAGGUGAAAUUCUUGGAUUUAUUGAAGACUAACUACUGCGAAAGCAUUUGCCAAGGAUGUUUUCAUUAAUCAAGAACGAAAGUUAGGGGAUCGAAGACGAUCAGAUACCGUCGUAGUCUUAACCAUAAACUAUGCCGACUAGGGAUCGGACGAUGUUAAUUUUAUAAUGACUCAUUCC
RNAcentral lists this unclassified non-coding RNA (510 nucleotides) under uncultured Glomus. RNAcentral's name for it is "SSU rRNA". It matches the Rfam family "Eukaryotic small subunit ribosomal RNA", at positions 569 to 1082 of the family's 1831-position model. The record is from RNAcentral. Lineage: Eukaryota; Fungi; Glomeromycota; Glomeromycetes; Glomerales; Glomeraceae.